Molecule: long non-coding RNA, 3055 nt
Organism: Magnolia sinica
Lineage: Eukaryota; Viridiplantae; Streptophyta; Magnoliopsida; Magnoliales; Magnoliaceae
Exons: 5
Source: RefSeq, a predicted model, not a curated record
GAAGAGAGGGAAAGGGCUAUUGUCAUGCAAGCGAUGACAGCUUGUGUAUCAGCUGUAGGGGAAUACUGUCGCGUAUAUAUGUUUAGACAGCUGGCGUGACAUGGAGAUGAUGAGCAGGCGAGGUUCAUCAACUCUAUAAUUCGGGCGACAGAAGUGGAUUGUAUAGCUCAACUCAAGAUGAGUCGAGAUGCUUUCUUUGAGUUGUGUACUACCCUUCGUGAGAAGACACAUUUGCAUGACACCCGUCAUGUCAGUCUCGAAGAACAGGUGGUUAUAUUUCUUCAUACAGUUGGCCAUAAUGUUCGCAAUAGGGUCAUAGGGCAUAGAUUUAUUCGAUCCGGGAAAACCGUUAGCCAUCACUUUAACCACGUUUCGGAUUCUAUUGUAUCAUUAUACCCAGAGUUUGUUAAACAGCCAAGCUCAGAGACACCAUCCGAGAUUCAGACGAAUAUCAGUUGGGCUUCAUACUUUCAGGUAUCAAUUUCAAUGACAAUCAAUGUAUAUGUACGUUGCUAUACUCAUACUCUGAAUAACAAAUCCGACCCUAAAAUAAAUUUGACAUAAUGUAUGUAGGACUGUGUUGGUGUAAUUGACGAGACACAUAUACCGGCUCUGGUCCAGUCUGCAGAUCAUGCGAGCUUCCGCAAUCAAAAAGGAUUCCUCUCACAAAAUGUACUCGCGGCAUGUUCGUUUAACAUGAAUUUCCUUUACAUAUUAGCCGGUUGGGAGGGUUCAGCCUUGGAUGCGCGGGUGCUACACAAUGCUCUGACCCGAUCAGAUGAUCUAUUACAUGUCCCGCAUGGGAAAUACUAUGCUGUCGACGCUGGAUAUGCGCAUUCACCCGGUUUUAUGGCUCCAUACCGCAGCAUGCGAUAAGACUUACAAGAGUAUCGAACCAGGAGAGCGCCUGCGAAUAUGAAUAAGCUGUUUAAUUACCGACAUGCACAAUUACGUAAUGCAAUCGAGCGUUGUUUUGGUGUACUGAAAAACAAAUUUCCCAUAUUGAAGACGACCAUUCCGUAUAAGUUUCACACACAAUUGAAAAUUAUUGUAGCGUGUUAUGUUCUACACAAUUUCAUAUGAUUCGUACUUCAGUCUCGUGAUGAUGGAUCUUUUCCUGUAGAGGAGAGUAACCCAACACCUCAUGAGGUGUCAGCAAAUGACGAAAGGCAAUGGUUGCUACGCGUCACUCAACAAGAAAAUGAUGCUUGGAAUCAUGUGCGGGAUGAUAUUGCUGCUCGAAUGUAGGCAGAUGCGCAACAGAACAGUGACAUGGCAGACCCAAGGUCUAAUGAUAGUUCAACACCGACACAAUCACCGCUUAGGACACCUGUGAUGCCGAUGCGAAGUUCACCAUGUGGGAAGACAAUCAAAUCCCUCGCUGAGCCUCUGUCUCGAGCGGCUAAAAUUAAAUGGAGUGCUAAAAUGGAUCAAGUGCUUUUCAACGUCCUGCUAGAACAGGUUGCUUUGGGACAUAAGGCAGAUAAUGGUUUCAAGAGGGAAGCCUACCAAGUAACAACAGAAGAGGUCAUGAAGCAUACGGACCUACCUGUCAACUGGCAGAAUGUGCAGAACCGUCUGAGGUAUUACAAGCACGAAUAUAUUGCAAUCAGGGACAUGCUAGCAGUUAGUAGGUUCGGAUGGGAUAAUGAGCGCAUGGUCGUUACGGCCCCUGAUGAGGUUUGGGAGGAUUACCUGAAGUCUCACCCGCGUGCUACACAUCUAUGCGGGAAAAGGAUUGAGAGAAUGGAUAACCUUGCGGUCAUCGUCGGCUCCGAUCAAGCAACUGGACGAUAUGCGCAAGGAAGUACGACUAUGGCCGCGUCAUCCUCUAGGAUUCAGCGAGAUCUCAAUGAGUCCUAGAGAGACGCUGAAGAUGAUCUGGAGGAUACUAUUGACCUCUCUGAGGGCCACGUAGCGGACUCGCCAGGCGUAAAUUUUUCCUCAGAUACUCCAUCGAUGGGAAGACAUGGAACCCGUGGCACUUCUAGUCAGACUCCAGAGUCUGACUAUAACCGAGAUGGGGGUGCAUCAAAGAAACGUAUGCGGCCUCCUCGUCCCUGCGAUGUACUCGGCAUCUCCCUUAAUACUGUUGCAGAGGCAAUGCGCGAUCUUGGCCUCGGCAAGGAGGUAAAUUGUACUACAAAGGUACUUGAUGUUCUUGAGGAGGUGCAAGGGUUGACCAACUCAGAAUUUAUCAAAAUUGGGCAACUGUUGAGCCGGGACGAGAGGCUGGCAUCGUUUUUUGUCAGUCUUCGACCCGAGAGGCGCGUUGAGUGGCUGCGAAGAACACUCCGCGAGAAUGAUCUCAAUGCAGGAGUUGGGUCGGUCUGACAUGCUCUUACCCGUCAUUGUGUUGAUCUAUUGUUUUAUGGGACUGUAAUAACUUUUUAUACGCUGGGGACUGUUUGUUUGAUGUUUGUUUUUUUUUUUUUUGAUGUUUGGAUGACCAAAUUGGUAUAUCGUGUAUACCAAUUUGAUAGGUGUGCUAAUACUCUGAUUUUAUAUAUUAUAUAUAUAUUCUGCCACAUGCUUGUUGCUCAGCAAAUUAAGACAAAUAGAGCCACACACAUCGUAUGGACGAAGGAUGGCAAAUGAGAAAUACUAUGUUGUUCUCGUGGGCCGUCGACCGGGCAUUUAUCUGACGUGGGAUGAUGCUAGGUUGGAGGUUGAAGGAUUCAGCGGAGGGAGACAUCGAACAUUCAAGAAUUGGAGGGAAGCGGUUUCCUGCUGGGAGAGUUACUUUGGUGGGAUUGGUGCACAAUUGCGGACUGCGACAGAAACUCAUGCGGUUUAUGUCGCCGCAUAGUUAGACGAGGUUGACAUCCAUCGUUCGUCGACUUCGUCUAUCCAUCAGUCGACCCAUGGCAGGGUUUCCAGGUCCACGACGACGGAUGAUCUUGGCCCAUCCUAUGGAGAGAGUUUUCCGUGGACUUCUGAUUGGCAUUCUCGUUAUUUUCUUUGCCUUACUUAUCAUUAUUAAAUUCUAGCUGUAGAGGUUUUGUAACAUAAUGAAUAUUAUUUUUUGGAUCUCUUUUUUUUUUUUUUUUUUUGA